RNAcentral lists this ribosomal RNA (484 nucleotides) under uncultured bacterium. RNAcentral's name for it is "partial 16S ribosomal RNA". It matches the Rfam family "Bacterial small subunit ribosomal RNA", at positions 30 to 507 of the family's 1533-position model. The record is from RNAcentral.
AUUGAACGCUGGCGGCAGGCCUAACACAUGCAAGUCGAGCGGAUGAAGGGAGCUUGCUCCUGGAUUCAGCGGCGGACGGGUGAGUAAUGCCUAGGAAUCUGCCUGGUAGUGGGGGAUAACGUCCGGAAACGGGCGCUAAUACCGCAUACGUCCUGAGGGAGAAAGUGGGGGAUCUUCGGACCUCACGCUAUCAGAUGAGCCUAGAUCGGAUUAGCUAGUUGGUGGGGUAAAGGCCUACCAAGGCGACGAUCCGUAACUGGUCUGAGAGGAUGAUCAGUCACACUGGAACUGAGACACGGUCCAGACUCCUACGGGAGGCAGCAGUGGGGAAUAUUGGACAAUGGGCGAAAGCCUGAUCCAGCCAUGCCGCGUGUGUGAAGAAGGUCUUCGGAUUGUAAAGCACUUUAAGUUGGGAGGAAGGGCAGUAAGUUAAUACCUUGUUGUUUUGACGUUACCAACAGAAUAAGCACCGGCUAACUUCGUG